UAAAGCUAGUAAGGGCAUAGGGUGGAUGCCUUGGCACCAAGCGCCGAUGAAGGACGUGACAAGCUGCGAUAAGCUGCGGGGAGCUGCAAAUGAGCCUCGAUCCGCAGAUUUCCGAAUGGGGAAACCCACCGACGGUAAUGCGUCGGUAUCUCCGUAUGAACACAUAGUACGGUUGAAGGGAACCCGGGGAACUGAAACAUCUCAUUACCCGGAGGAAAAGAAAGUAAAACAACGAUUUUGUGAGUAGUGGUGAGCGAAAGCGAAACAGCCCAAACCGGAGAAAUUUAUUUCGAUGGGGUUUUGGACCUGCAUAAUUCGAAGAAUUGAUAGCCGAACACAGUUGGAAAACUGGGCGAAACAAAGUAAUAGCCUUGUAAGCGAAAUCAAUUUCAGAUGGCGGGUAUCCGGAGUACCACGGGACACGUGUAAUCCAGUGGGAAGACAGGAGGACCAUCUCCUAAGGCUAAAUACGACUUGGUGACCGAUAGCGUAUAGUACCGUGAGGGAAAGGUGAAAAGAACCCCGGGAGGGGAGUGAAAGAGAACCUGAAACCCUAUGCUUACAAGCAGACGCAGCACCACUUAAGGUGUGGCGUCGUACUUUUUGUAGAACGGGCCGGCGAGUUACGUUGCGUAGCGAGGUUAAGUGAUUAAGUCACGGAGCCGUAGCGAGAGCGAGUCUUAACCGGGCGAUUUAGUUGCGUGACGUAGACCCGAAACCGGAUGACCUAUCCAUGGACAGGUUGAAGCAGUGGUAAGACACUGUGGAGGACCGAACCCACGUUCGUUGAAAAGACCGGGGAUGAGCUGUGGAUAGCGGAGAAAUUCCAAUCGAAUCCGGAUAUAGCUGGUUCUCCUCGAAAUAGCUUUAGGGCUAGCCUCUCGUUAGAGUACUGAAGGUAGAGCACUGAAUGGGCUAGGGGGCUUCACAGCUUACUGAACCUUAUCAAACUUCGAAUGACAGAUACUUGAUGCGAGGGAGUCAGACAGCGUGAGAUAAGUUUCGUUGUCAAAAGGGAAACAGCCCAGAUCUACAACUAAGGUCCCUAAGUACAAGUUAAGUGGUAAAGGAUGUGCCAAUGCUAAAACAACCAGGAUGUUGGCUUAGAAGCAGCCACUCAUUUAAAGAGUGCGUAAUAGCUCACUGGUCGAGUGAGGGUGCGCCGAAGAUUACCGGGGCUAAAACUUGUCACCGAAGUUUAGGGAUGCAGUUUACUGCAUCGGUAGAGGAGCAAUGUAUGCGGGCAGAAGCGAUAUCGUAAGGGGUCGUGGACUGCAUACAAGAGAGAAUGCCGGCAUAAGUAGCGCGAGCAAAGUGAGAAUCUUUGCCGUCGAAUGCCUAAGGUUUCCUGGGGAAGGUUCGUCCUCCCAGGGUAAGUCGGGACCUAAGCCGAGGCCGAAAGGCGUAGGUGAUGGACAACAGGUAGAUAUUCCUGUACCGCCAAAUGACGCUUAAAUGAGGCAAUGACACAGUAGGAUAGUCAAUCCGCGGCGUUGGAUUGCUGCGGCCAAAUCAUGAGGCUGAUGUGUAGUGAAGUACGCACAUCGUCAGGCUAGGUGAUGAUGGGGAGUGAAAACUAGUAACGAAGUUGAUGAAUUCACACUGGCGAGAAAAGUUGCUAAAUAUGUUGUUAGGCGCCCGUACCGCAAACCGACACAGGUGGGCGAGGAGAAAAUCCUAAGACGGACGGGAGAACCCUUGUUAAGGAACUCUGCAAAAUGACCCCGUAACUUCGGGAGAAGGGGAGCCUGCUAUGCAGGCCGCAGUGAAGAGGCCCAAGCGACUGUUUACCAAAAACACAGGUCUCUGCUAAAUCGAAAGAUGAAGUAUAGGGGCUGACGCCUGCCCAGUGCUGGAAGGUUAAGGGGAUGUGUUAGCGCAAGCGAAGCACGGAACUUAAGCCCCAGUGAACGGCGGCCGUAACUAUAACGGUCCUAAGGUAGCGAAAUUCCUUGUCAGGUAAG
This 1964-nucleotide ribosomal RNA is filed under the name human gut metagenome. RNAcentral describes it as "bacterial LSU rRNA". It matches the Rfam family "Bacterial large subunit ribosomal RNA", at positions 1 to 1980 of the family's 2925-position model. The record is from RNAcentral.